This 1792-nucleotide ribosomal RNA is filed under the name Proceropycnis pinicola. RNAcentral describes it as "partial small subunit ribosomal RNA". It matches the Rfam family "Eukaryotic small subunit ribosomal RNA". Lineage: Eukaryota; Fungi; Basidiomycota; Atractiellomycetes; Atractiellales; Hoehnelomycetaceae. The record is from RNAcentral.
AUGUAGUCAUAAUGCUUGUCUCAAAGAUUAAGCCAUGCAUGUCUAAGUAUAAACAAAUUCAUACUGUGAAACUGCGAAUGGCUCAUUAAAUCAGUUAUAGUUUAUUUGAUGGUACCUUACUACAUGGAUAACUGUGGUAAUUCUAGAGCUAAUACAUGCUGAAAAUCCCUGACUUCUGGAAAGGGAGUAUUUAUUAGAUAAAAAACCAAUGGCCUUCGGGUCUCCUUGGUGAAUCAUGAUAACUUCUCGAAUCGCAGGGCCUUGCGCCGGCGAUGCUUCAUUCAAAUAUCUGCCCUAUCAACUUUCGAUGGUAGGAUAGAGGCCUCACCAUGGUUAUGACGGGUAACGGGGAAUAAGGGUUCGAUUCCGGAGAGAGGGCCUGAGAAACGGCCCUCAUGUCUAAGGAUAGCAGCAGGCGCGCAAAUUACCCAAUCCCGACUCGGGGAGGUAGUGACAAUAAAUAACAAUAUAGGGCCCUCUGGGUCUUAUAAUUGGAAUGAGUACAAUUUAAUUUCCUUAACGAGGAUCAAUUGGAGGGCAAGUCUGGUGCCAGCAGCCGCGGUAAUUCCAGCUCCAAUAGCGUAUAUUAAAGUUGCUGCCGUUAAAAAGCUCGUAGUCGAACUUCGGCCUCUGCCUGCUGGUCCGCCUUUUUGGUGUGUACUGGUUUUGGUGGAAGCUUACCUCUUGGUGGGUCGGCAUGCCCUUUAUUGGGUGUGUCGAUUAACCAGGACUUUUACUUUGAGAAAAUUAGAGUGUUCAAAGCAGGCUUUUGCCCGAAUACAUUAGCAUGGAAUAAUAGAAUAGGACGCGCGUCUCUAUUUUGUUGGUUUCUAGAUUCGCCGUAAUGAUUAAUAGGGAUAGUCGGGGGCAUUCGUAUUGCGUGGCUAGAGGUGAAAUUCUUGGAUUCUCGCAAGACGAACUACUGCGAAAGCAUUUGCCAAGGAUGUUUUCAUUGAUCAAGAACGAAGGUUAGGGGAUCGAAAACGAUCAGAUACCGUUGUAGUCUUAACAGUAAACUAUGCCGACUAGGGAUCGGACAAGCACAAUUUAUGACUUGUUCGGCACCUGAAGAGAAAUCUUUAAGUCUAGGUUCGGGGGGGAGUAUGGUCGCAAGGCUGAAACUUAAAGGAAUUGACGGAAGGCCACCACCAGGUGUGGAGCCUGCGGCUUAAUUUGACUCAACACGGGGAAACUCACCAGGUCCAGACACAAUAAGGAUUGACAGAUUGAUAGCUCUUUCUUGAUCUUGCGGUUGGUGGUGCAUGGCCGUUCUUCAGUUGGUGGAGUGAUUUCGUCUGGUUAAUUCCGAUAACGAACGAGACCUUAACCCUGCUAAAUAGACCCGGAGCCUUAGGGAACCGGCUGUCUUCUUAGAGGGACUGUAGGCGUUUAGCCUACGGAAGUUUGAGGCAAUAACAGGUCUGUGAUGCCCUUAGAUGUUCUGGGCCGCACGCGCGCUACACUGACUGAGCCAGCGAGUUUUUUCCUUGGCCGGAAGGUCUGGGUAAUCUUGUGAAACUCAGUCGUGAUGGGGAUAGAGCAUUGCAAUUAUUGCUCUUCAACGAGGAAUACCUAGUAAGCGCAAGUCAUCAGCUUGCGUUGAUUACGUCCCUGCCCUUUGUACACACCGCCCGUCGCUACUACCGAUUGAAUGGCUUAGUGAGGCCUUCGGACUGGCUUUUGGGAGCGGGCGACUGCACCUGAUUGCUGGAAAGUUGUACGAUCUUGGUCAUUUAGAGGAAGUACAAGUCGUAACAAGGUUUCCGUAGGUGAACCUGCGGAAGGAUCAUUA